GACGAACGCUGGCGGCGUGCUUAACACAUGCAAGUCGAACGGAAAGGCCCUGCUUUUGUGGGGUGCUCGAGUGGCGAACGGGUGAGUAACACGUGAGUAACCUGCCCUUGACUUUGGUAUAACUUCAGGAAACUUGGGCUAAUACCGGAUAGGAGCUCCUGCUGCAUGGUGGGGGUUGGAAAGUUUCGGCGGUUGGGGAUGGACUCGCGGCUUAUCAGCUUGUUGGUGGGGUAGUGGCUUACCAAGGCUUUGACGGGUAGCCGGCCUGAGAGGGUGACCGGCCACAUUGGGACUGAGAUACGGACCAGACUCCUACGGGAGGCAGCAGUGGGGAAUAUUGCACAAUGGGCGGAAGCCUGAUGCAGCAACGCCGCGUGCGGGAUGACGGCCUUCGGGUUGUAAACCGCUUUCGCCUGUGACGAAGCGUGAGUGACGGUAAUGGGUAAAGAAGCACCGGCUAACUACGUG
This 468-nucleotide ribosomal RNA is filed under the name uncultured bacterium. Its description in RNAcentral is "partial 16S ribosomal RNA". It matches the Rfam family "Bacterial small subunit ribosomal RNA", at positions 28 to 507 of the family's 1533-position model. The record is from RNAcentral.